AGCGAACGCUGGCGGCAUGCUUAACACAUGCAAGUCGCACGGGCAGCAAUGUCAGUGGCGGACGGGUGAGUAACGCGUAGGAACGUGUCCUGAGGUGGGGGACAACCCCGGGAAACUGGGGCUAAUACCGCAUAUGGGCUGAGGCCCAAAGCCGAGAGGCGCCUUUGGAGCGGCCUGCGUCCGAGUAGGUAGUUGGUGGGGUAAAGGCCUACCAAGCCUGCGAUCGGUAGCUGGUCUGAGAGGACGACCAGCCACACUCGGGCUGAGACGAGGCCCAGACACACCUGGGAGGGAGCAACGGCCAAGAUUCGAACGGGGGGCGGAGGUGGGUAAAGUGGAACAGUGGGGGAAAACCUGGCCCACGAGUGCGGCGGGGGUGAAGAGGGUCUAGGAAUGGAAAGCCCUUUCGACGGGGACGAUGAUGACGGUACCCGGAGAAGAAGCCCCGGCUAACUUCG
This 458-nucleotide ribosomal RNA is filed under the name uncultured bacterium. Its description in RNAcentral is "partial 16S ribosomal RNA". It matches the Rfam family "Bacterial small subunit ribosomal RNA", at positions 30 to 505 of the family's 1533-position model. The record is from RNAcentral.